This 253-nucleotide ribosomal RNA is filed under the name uncultured bacterium. RNAcentral's name for it is "partial 16S ribosomal RNA". It matches the Rfam family "Bacterial small subunit ribosomal RNA", at positions 524 to 776 of the family's 1533-position model. The record is from RNAcentral.
UACGAAGGGGGCUAGCGUUACUCGGAAUCACUGGGCGUAAAGCGCACGUAGGCGGAUCUUUAAGUCAGGGGUGAAAUCCUGGAGCUCAACUCCAGAACUGCCUCUGAUACUGGGGAUCUUGAGUCCGGAAGAGGUAAGUGGAACUGCGAGUGUAGAGGUGAAAUUCGUAGAUAUUCGCAAGAACACCAGUGGCGAAGGCGGCUUACUGGUCCGGUACUGACGCUGAGGUGCGAAAGUGUGGGGAUCAAACAGG